Molecule: transfer RNA, 66 nt
Filed under: Trigonopterus porg
Lineage: Eukaryota; Metazoa; Arthropoda; Insecta; Coleoptera; Curculionidae
Description: tRNA-Glu
Source: RNAcentral
AUUUAUAUAGUUUAAAUAAAAAUAUUACAUUUUCAUUGUAAAGUUAGAUUACUUUUCUUAUAAAUU